Molecule: ribosomal RNA, 774 nt
Filed under: uncultured Neocallimastigales
Lineage: Eukaryota; Fungi; Neocallimastigomycota; Neocallimastigomycetes; Neocallimastigales
Description: partial large subunit ribosomal RNA
Rfam family: Eukaryotic large subunit ribosomal RNA
Source: RNAcentral
CGCAUCUGUGCAUGCAGCAUAUCAAUAAGCGGAGGAAAAGAAACUAACAAGGAUUCCCCUAGUAACGGCGAGUGAAGCGGGAAGAGCUCAAAUUCGAAAUCUUAAAGGGUUUCCCUUUACGAAUUGUAGUUUAAAGAAGUGUUUUCUGUUGAGGUUUUGGUAAAAGUUCUUUGGAAUAGGACAUCAUAGAGGGUGAGAAUCCCGUAUUUGACCUUUACUUUCAACUUUGUGAUACACUUUCAAAGAGUCGGAUUGUUUGGGAAUGCAGUCCAAAAUGGGUGGUAAAUUUCAUCUAAAGCUAAAUAUUGGCGAGAGACCGAUAGCGAACAAGUACCGUGAGGGAAAGAUGAAAAGAACUUUGAAAAGAGAGUUGAACAGUACGUGAAAUUGUCAAAAGGGAAGCGUUUGACACCAGUGUUGUUUUUCUGAAAAUCAAUUAAAGAACUGUUUAUGCUAAGUUGUUUAGACUUUAUCAGCUAACUGUUUAGUUUUGAGCUUUUCUUUAAUGCACUUUUCAGUUAACAAGUCAACAUCAAUUUCUUUUGCUGUAAAAAAGCUUGAGGAAGGUGGCUUGAGAUUCGUCUUAAGUGUUUAUAGCCUCUUGCCUAUGCAGUCGGAGAGAUUGAGGUCUGCAGCGUAGAUCCUUCGGGGCUAAAUACAUUUGUGCUAAGUUAUAGCAUUUUAUAGACAACUUGUUGACUAUGAUUUGUCUUGUAGCUUACUCGCUUAUGUUAUUUUACCUACGCUUAGGAUGUUGAACGCGCACAGAGUCUC